UAAUAUGCGCCAUCGAUUGACGUUACCCGCAGAAGAAGCACCGGCUAACUCCGUGCCAGCAGCCGCGGUAAUACGGAGGGUGCGAGCGUUAAUCGGAAUUACUGGGCGUAAAGCGUACGCAGGCGGUCUGUUAAGUCAGAUGUGAAAUCCCCGGGCUCAACCUGGGAACUGCAUUUGAAACUGGCAGGCUAGAGUCUCGUAGAGGGGGGUAGAAUUCCAGGUGUAGCGGUGAAAUGCGUAGAGAUCUGGAGGAAUACCGGUGGCGAAGGCGGCCCCCUGGACGAAGACUGACGCUCAGGUACGAAAGCGUGGGGAGCAAACAGGAUUAGAUACCCUGGUAGUCCACGCUGUAAACGAUGUCGAUUUGAAGGUUGUGGCCUUGAGCCGUGGCUUUCGGAGCUAACGCGUUAAAUCGACCGCCUGGGGAGUACGGCCGCAAGGUUAAAACUCAAAUGAAUUGACGGGGGCCCGCACAAGCGGUGGAGCAUGUGGUUUAAUUCGAUGCAACGCGAAGAACCUUACCUACUCUUGACAUCCAAGUCGCUUGGAAGACAUGCCGUGGUGCCUUCGG
This 571-nucleotide ribosomal RNA is filed under the name primary endosymbiont of Sitophilus zeamais. RNAcentral describes it as "bacterial SSU rRNA". It matches the Rfam family "Bacterial small subunit ribosomal RNA", at positions 453 to 1023 of the family's 1533-position model. Lineage: Bacteria; Pseudomonadati; Pseudomonadota; Gammaproteobacteria; Enterobacterales; Enterobacteriaceae. The record is from RNAcentral.